This 423-nucleotide ribosomal RNA is filed under the name uncultured bacterium. Its description in RNAcentral is "partial 16S ribosomal RNA". It matches the Rfam family "Bacterial small subunit ribosomal RNA", at positions 359 to 774 of the family's 1533-position model. The record is from RNAcentral.
GAAUUUUGGACAAUGGGCGAAAGCCUGAUCCAGCAAUGCCGCGUGCAGGAUGAAGGCCUUCGGGUUGUAAACUGCUUUUGUACGGAACGAAAAGCUUUGGGUUACUAACCCGGAGACCUGACGGUACCGUAAUAAUAAGAACCGGCUCAAUACAUGACAGCAGCCGCGGUAAUACGGAGGGUGCAAGCGUUAAUCGGAAUUAAUGGGCGUAAAGCGUGCUCAGGCGGUUGUGUAAGACAGAGGUGAAAUCCCCGGGCUCAACCUGGGAACUGCCUUUGUGACUGCAAGGCUAGAGUACGGCCGAGGGGGGUGGAAUUCCGCGUGUAGCAGUGAAAUGCGUAGAUAUGCGGAGGAACACCGAUGGCGAAGGCAACCCCCUGGGCCUGUACUGACGCUCAUGCACGAAAGCGUGGGGAGCAAACA